Molecule: long non-coding RNA, 776 nt
Organism: Drosophila biarmipes
Lineage: Eukaryota; Metazoa; Arthropoda; Insecta; Diptera; Drosophilidae
Exons: 5
Source: RefSeq, a predicted model, not a curated record
UUUCAAAUUGCUUCAGAAUAUUAAAAAACACCUACAUUGCGUUAAACAACCAUUUGAUUGGAUAACCUUUCUUUUUUUACUCGCCAGUGAGGGAUUAUACAAAAACUAAGAGUGCUGCACCAAACUUUGAUGAAUAAAUUACGCUUAUUGGGUUACUGUAAUUAGAGUACAGAAUACGUAGUUUCAAAUUGCUUCAGAAUAUUAAAAAACACCUACAUUGCGUUAAACAACCAUUUGAUUGGAUAACCUUUCUUUUUUUACUCGCCAGUGAGGGAUUAUACAAAAACUAAGAGGGCUGCACCAAACUUUGAUGAAUAAAUUACGCUUAUUGGGUUACUGUAAUUAGAGUACAGAAAAUGUAGUUUCAAAUUGCUUCAGAAUAUUAAAAAACACCUACAUUGCGUUAAACAACCAUUUGAUUGGAUAACCUUUCUUUUUUUACUCGCCAGUGAGGGAUUAUACAAAAACUAAGAGGGCUGCACCAAACUUUGAUGAAUAAAUUACGCUUAUUGGGUUACUGUAAUUAGAGUACAGAAAAUGUAGUUUCAAAUUGCUUCAGAAUAUUAAAAAACACCUACAUUGCGUUAAACAACCAUUUGAUUGGAUAACCUUUCUUUUUUUACUCGCCAGUGAGGGAUUAUACAAAAACUAAGACUGCUGCACCAAAUUUUGAUGAAUAAAUUACGCUUAUUGGGUUACUGUAAUUAGAGUACAGAAAAUGUAGUUUCAAAUUGCUUCAGAAUAUUAAAAAACACCUACAUUGCGUUAAACAACCA